GGGUUGUGAGGUUAAGCGACUAAGCGUACACGGUGGAUGCCCUGGCAGUCAGAGGCGAUGAAGGACGUGCUAAUCUGCGAUAAGCGUCGGUAAGGUGAUAUGAACCGUUAUAACCGGCGAUUUCCGAAUGGGGAAACCCAGUGUGAUUCGUCACACUAUCAUUAACUGAAUCCAUAGGUUAAUGAGGCGAACCGGGGGAACUGAAACAUCUAAGUACCCCGAGGAAAAGAAAUCAACCGAGAUUCCCCCAGUAGCGGCGAGCGAACGGGGAGCAGCCCAGAGCCUGAAUCAGUGUGUGUGUUAGUGGAAGCGUCUGGAAAGGCGYGCGAUACAGGGUGACAGCCCCGUACACAAAAAUGCACAUGCUGUGAGCUCGAUGAGUAGGGCGGGACACGUGGUAUCCUGUCUGAAUAUGGGGGGACCAUCCUCCAAGGCUAAAUACUCCUGACUGACCGAUAGUGAACCAGUACCGUGAGGGAAAGGCGAAAAGAACCCCGGCGAGGGGAGUGAAAAAGAACCUGAAACCGUGUACGUACAAGCAGUGGGAGCACAGAGCAAUCUGUGUGACUGCGUACCUUUUGUAUAAUGGGUCAGCGACUUAUAUUCUGUAGCAAGGUUAACCGAAUAGGGGAGCCGAAGGGAAACCGAGUCUUAACUGGGCGUUAAGUUGCAGGGUAUAGACCCGAAACCCGGUGAUCUAGCCAUGGGCAGGUUGAAGGUUGGGUAACACUAACUGGAGGACCGAACCGACUAAUGUUGAAAAAUUAGCGGAUGACUUGUGGCUGGGGGUGAAAGGCCAAUCAAACCGGGAGAUAGCUGGUUCUCCCCGAAAGCUAUUUAGGUAGCGCCUCGUGAAUUCAUCUCCGGGGGUAGAGCACUGUUUCGGCAAGGGGGUCAUCCCGACUUACCAACCCGAUGCAAACUGCGAAUACCGGAGAAUGUUAUCACGGGAGACACACGGCGGGUGCUAACGUCCGUCGUGAAGAGGGAAACAACCCAGACCGCCAGCUAAGGUCCCAAAGUCAUGGUUAAGUGGGAAACGAUGUGGGAAGGCCCAGACAGCCAGGAUGUUGGCUUAGAAGCAGCCAUCAUUUAAAGAAAGCGUAAUAGCUCACUGGUCGAGUCGGCCUGCGCGGAAGAUGUAACGGGGCUAAACCAUGCACCGAAGCUGCGGCAGCGACRCUKAUGYGUUGUUGGGUAGGGGAGCGUUCUGUAAGCCUGYGAAGGUGURCUGUGAGGYAUGCUGGAGGUAUCAGAAGUGCGAAUGCUGACAUAAGUAACGAUAAAGCGGGUGAAAAGCCCGCUCGCCGGAAGACCAAGGGUUCCUGUCCAACGUUAAUCGGGGCAGGGUGAGUCGACCCCUAAGGCGAGGCCGAAAGGCGUAGUCGAUGGGAAACAGGUUAAUAUUCCUGUACUUGGUGUUACUGCGAAGGGGGGACGGAGAAGGCUAUGUUGGCCGGGCGACGGUUGUCCCGGUUUAAGCGUGUAGGCUGGUUUUCCAGGCAAAUCCGGAAAAYCAAGGCUGAGGCGUGAUGACGAGGCACUACGGUGCUGAAGCAACAAAUGCCCUGCUUCCAGGAAAAGCCUCUAAGCAUCAGGUAACAUCAAAUCGUACCCCAAACCGACACAGGUGGUCAGGUAGAGAAUACCAAGGCGCUUGAGAGAACUCGGGUGAAGGAACUAGGCAAAAUGGUGCCGUAACUUCGGGAGAAGGCACGCUGAUAUGUAGGUGAAGUCCCUCGCGGAUGGAGCUGAAAUCAGUCGAAGAUACCAGCUGGCUGCAACUGUUUAUUAAAAACACAGCACUGUGCAAACACGAAAGUGGACGUAUACGGUGUGACGCCUGCCCGGUGCCGGAAGGUUAAUUGAUGGGGUYAGCGCAAGCGAAGCUCUUGAUCGAAGCCCCGGUAAACGGCGGCCGUAACUAUAACGGUCCUAAGGUAGCGAAAUUCCUUGUCGGGUAAGUUCCGACCUGCACGAAUGGCGUAAUGAUGGCCAGGCUGUCUCCACCCGAGACUCAGUGAAAUUGAACUCGCUGUGAAGAUGCAGUGUACCCGCGGCAAGACGGAAAGACCCCGUGAACCUUUACUAUAGCUUGACACUGAACAUUGAGCCUUGAUGUGUAGGAUAGGUGGGAGGCUUKGAAGUGUGGACGCCAGUCUGCAUGGAGCCGACCUUGAAAUACCACCCUUUAAUGUUUGAUGUUCUAACGUUGACCCGUAAUCCGGGUUGCGGACAGUGUCUGGUGGGUAGUUUGACUGGGGCGGUCUCCUCCUAAAGAGUAACGGAGGAGCACGAAGGUUGGCUAAUCCUGGUCGGACAUCAGGAGGUUAGUGCAAUGGCAUAAGCCAGCUUGACUGCGAGCGUGACGGCGCGAGCAGGUGCGAAAGCAGGUCAUAGUGAUCCGGUGGUUCUGAAUGGAAGGGCCAUCGCUCAACGGAUAAAAGGUACUCCGGGGAUAACAGGCUGAUACCGCCCAAGAGUUCAUAUCGACGGCGGUGUUUGGCACCUCGAUGUCGGCUCAUCACAUCCUGGGGCUGAAGUAGGUCCCAAGGGUAUGGCUGUUCGCCAUUUAAAGUGGUACGCGAGCUGGGUUUAGAACGUCGUGAGACAGUUCGGUCCCUAUCUGCCGUGGGCGCUGGAGAACUGAGGGGGGCUGCUCCUAGUACGAGAGGACCGGAGUGGACGCAUCACUGGUGUUCGGGUUGUCAUGCCAAUGGCACUGCCCGGUAGCUAAAUGCGGAAGAGAUAAGUGCUGAAAGCAUCUAAGCACGAAACUUGCCCCGAGAUGAGUUCUCCCUGACUCCUUGAGAGUCCUGAAGGAACGUUGAAGACGACGACGUUGAUAGGCCGGGUGUGUAAGCGCAGCGAUGCGUUGAGCUAACCGGUACUAAUGAACCGUGAGGCUUAACCUUACAACGCCGAAGRUGUU
This 2932-nucleotide ribosomal RNA is filed under the name Escherichia coli. RNAcentral describes it as "23S ribosomal RNA". It matches the Rfam family "Bacterial large subunit ribosomal RNA". Lineage: Bacteria; Pseudomonadati; Pseudomonadota; Gammaproteobacteria; Enterobacterales; Enterobacteriaceae. The record is from RNAcentral.